UCUGGUUGAUCCUGCCAGUAGUCAUAUGCUUGUCUUAAAGAUUAAGCCAUGCAUGUCUAAGUAUAAACACUUGUACUUGUGAAACUGCGAAUGGCUCAUUAAAUCAGUUAUAAUUUAUUUGAUGGUCUCUUUACUACUUGGAUGACCGUGGUAAAUCUAGAGCUAAUACAUGCAUAAAAUCCUGACUAGUGCGCUUUAUAGUACUGGGAGGGAUGUAUUUAUUAGAUUCAAAAGCCAAUGCCAUCUUCUUCGGGGGGUGGAAAUUUUUUCAAUGGUGAUUCAUGAUAACUUUACGAAUCGCACGGCCUUUUGUGCUGGCGAUAGUUCAUUCAAAUAUCUGCCCUAUCAACUUUCGAUGGUAGUAUAGAGGACCACCAUGGUGGUAACGGGUAACGGAGAAUCAGGGUUUGAUUCCGGAGAAGGAGCCUGAGAAACGGCUACUACUUCCAAGGAAGGCAGCAGGCGCGCAAAUUACCCAAUCCCGACACGGGGAGGUAGUGACAAAAAAUAACAAUACCGGUCUUAUUAAAGUCUGGUAAUUGGAAUGAGUACAAUCUAAACCUUUUAACGAGUAUCAAUUGGAGGGCAAGUCUGGUGCCAGCAGCCGCGGUAAUUCCAGCUCCAAUAGCAUAUAUUAAAGUUGUUGCAGUUAAAAAGCUCGUAGUUGGAUUUCGAAGUUAACAUAUCGCGACCCGCCUUUUUAGGGUGUGUUUGUUGUGGUAUGUUCUUCUCCUUACUAGACUUUCACUAUUGCACUUAAUUGAGUGAUAGUUUUGCUUCGAUUCGUCGGGGUGAGUGGUGGGCGGACCUAUUGGGUUAGGAUUGUGGAUGAGGCGCUUCUUCGGAGGAGUCGUGUUCUGCCUGAUUCAGUAACCGUUCAUUAGAAUUCUAGUUCUUUUACUUUGAGUAAAUUAGAGUGUUCAAGGCAAGCAAAAUUACUUUUUCUGCAAUGAAUACUAUUAGCAUGGGAUAAUGGAACAGGACACGUAUUCUAGUUUUUCGUUGGUUUCUAGAAUUUUUAUUAUUAGUGUAAUGAUUAAAAGGGACAGUUGGGGGCAUUCGUAUUUCAUUGUCAGAGGUGAAAUUCUUGGAUUUAUGAAAGACGAACUUCUGCGAAAGCAUUUGUCAAAGAUGUUUUCAUUAAUCAAGAACGAAAGUUAGGGGAUCGAAGACGAUCAGAUACCGUCGUAGUCUUAACCAUAAACUAUGCCGACCAGGGAUUGGAAGACGU
Molecule: ribosomal RNA, 1231 nt
Filed under: metagenome
Description: SSU rRNA
Rfam family: Eukaryotic small subunit ribosomal RNA
Source: RNAcentral